GAUGAACGCUAGCGGCAGGCCUAAUACAUGCAAGUCGGACGGGAUUCAGGAGCUUGCUUCUGAUGAGAGUGGCGCACGGGUGCGUAACACGUAUGUAACCUACCUUUAUCAGGGGGAUAGCCUCUCGAAAGAGAGAUUAAGCCCGCAUAAAAUCACAGCACAGCCUUGUGUAAUGAUCAAAUAUUUAUAGGAUAAAGAUGGGCAUGCGGAACAUUAGCUAGAUGGCGGGGUAACGGCCCACCAUGGCGACGAUGUUUAGGGGAUCUGAGAGGAUGGCCCCCCACACUGGUACGGAGACACGGACCAGACUCCUACGGGAGGCAGCAGUAAGGAAUAUUGGUCAAUGGGCGGAAGCCUGAACCAGCCAUGCCGCGUGCAGGAAGACGGCCCUACGGGUUGUAAACUGCUUUUAUACGGGAAUAAACCCAGAUACGUGUAUCUGGCUGAAUGUACUGUAAGAAUAAGGAUCGGCUAACUCCGUG
RNAcentral lists this ribosomal RNA (482 nucleotides) under uncultured bacterium. RNAcentral's name for it is "partial 16S ribosomal RNA". It matches the Rfam family "Bacterial small subunit ribosomal RNA", at positions 28 to 507 of the family's 1533-position model. The record is from RNAcentral.